This 1554-nucleotide ribosomal RNA is filed under the name Escherichia sp. MOD1-EC6475. Its description in RNAcentral is "bacterial SSU rRNA". It matches the Rfam family "Bacterial small subunit ribosomal RNA". The record is from RNAcentral. Lineage: Bacteria; Pseudomonadati; Pseudomonadota; Gammaproteobacteria; Enterobacterales; Enterobacteriaceae.
AAAAUGAAGAGUUUGAUCAUGGCACAGAUUGAACGCUGGCGGCAGGCCUAACACAUGCAAGUCGAACGGUAACAGGAAUCAGCUUGCUGAUUCGCUGACGAGUGGCGGACGGGUGAGUAAUGUCUGGGAAACUGCCCAAUGGAUGGGGAUAACUACUGGAAACGGUAGCUAAUACCGCAUAACGUCGCAAGACCAAAGAGGGGGACCUUCGGGCCUCUUGCCAUCGGAUGUGCCCAGAUGGGAUUAGCUAGUAGGUGGGGUAACGGCUCACCUAGGCGACGAUCCCUAGCUGGUCUGAGAGGAUGACCAGCCACACUGGAACUGAGACACGGUCCAGACUCCUACGGGAGGCAGCAGUGGGGAAUAUUGCACAAUGGGCGCAAGCCUGAUGCAGCCAUGCCGCGUGUAUGAAGAAGGCCUUCGGGUUGUAAAGUACUUUCAGCGGGGAGGAAGGGAGUAAAGUUAAUACCUUUGCUCAUUGACGUUACCCGCAGAAGAAGCACCGGCUAACUCCGUGCCAGCAGCCGCGGUAAUACGGAGGGUGCAAGCGUUAAUCGGAAUUACUGGGCGUAAAGCGCACGCAGGCGGUCUGUUAAGUCAGAUGUGAAAUCCCCGGGCUCAACCUGGGAACUGCAUCUGAUACUGGCAGGCUUGAGUCUCGUAGAGGGGGGUAGAAUUCCAGGUGUAGCGGUGAAAUGCGUAGAGAUCUGGAGGAAUACCGGUGGCGAAGGCGGCCCCCUGGACGAAGACUGACGCUCAGGUGCGAAAGCGUGGGGAGCAAACAGGAUUAGAUACCCUGGUAGUCCACGCCGUAAACGAUGUCGACUUGGAGGUUGUGCCCUUGAGGCGUGGCUUCCGGAGCUAACGCGUUAAGUCGACCGCCUGGGGAGUACGGCCGCAAGGUUAAAACUCAAAUGAAUUGACGGGGGCCCGCACAAGCGGUGGAGCAUGUGGUUUAAUUCGAUGCAACGCGAAGAACCUUACCUGGUCUUGACAUCCACGGAAGUUUUCAGAGAUGAGAAUGUGCCUUCGGGAACCGUGAGACAGGUGCUGCAUGGCUGUCGUCAGCUCGUGUUGUGAAAUGUUGGGUUAAGUCCCGCAACGAGCGCAACCCUUAUCCUUUGUUGCCAGCGGUCCGGCCGGGAACUCAAAGGAGACUGCCAGUGAUAAACUGGAGGAAGGUGGGGAUGACGUCAAGUCAUCAUGGCCCUUACGACCAGGGCUACACACGUGCUACAAUGGCGCAUACAAAGAGAAGCGACCUCGCGAGAGCAAGCGGACCUCAUAAAGUGCGUCGUAGUCCGGAUUGGAGUCUGCAACUCGACUCCAUGAAGUCGGAAUCGCUAGUAAUCGUGGAUCAGAAUGCCACGGUGAAUACGUUCCCGGGCCUUGUACACACCGCCCGUCACACCAUGGGAGUGGGUUGCAAAAGAAGUAGGUAGCUUAACCUUCGGGAGGGCGCUUACCACUUUGUGAUUCAUGACUGGGGUGAAGUCGUAACAAGGUAACCGUAGGGGAACCUGCGGUUGGAUCACCUCCUUACCUUAAAGAAGC